RNAcentral lists this ribosomal RNA (426 nucleotides) under uncultured cyanobacterium. Its description in RNAcentral is "bacterial SSU rRNA". It matches the Rfam family "Bacterial small subunit ribosomal RNA", at positions 1075 to 1502 of the family's 1533-position model. The record is from RNAcentral. Lineage: Bacteria; Bacillati; Cyanobacteriota.
UUGGGUUAAGUCCCGCAACGAGCGCAACCCUCGUUUUUAGUUGCCAUCAUUAAGUUGGGCACUCUAGAGAGACUGCCGGUGACAAACCGGAGGAAGGUGAGGAUGACGUCAAGUCAGCAUGGCCCUUACGUCCUGGGCUACACACGUACUACAAUGCUACGGACAAAGGGCAGCAAGCCAGUGAUGGCAAGCAAAUCUCGUAAACCGUAGCUCAGUUCAGAUUGUAGGCUGCAACUCGCCUACAUGAAGUCGGAAUCGCUAGUAAUUGCAGGUCAGCAUACUGCAGUGAAUUCGUUCCCGGGCCUUGUACACACCGCCCGUCACACCAUGGGAGCUGGUUACGCCCGAAGUCGUUACUCUAACCGCAAGGAGGGGGACGCCGAAGGUAGAACUGGUGACUGGGGUGAAGUCGUAACAAGGUAACCA